This 508-nucleotide ribosomal RNA is filed under the name uncultured bacterium. Its description in RNAcentral is "partial 16S ribosomal RNA". It matches the Rfam family "Bacterial small subunit ribosomal RNA", at positions 28 to 507 of the family's 1533-position model. The record is from RNAcentral.
GACGAACGCUGGCGGCGUGCCUAAUACAUGCAAGUCGAACGCUUCUUUCCUCCCGAGUGCUUGCGCUCAAUUGGAAAGCGGAGUGGCGGACGGGGGAGUAACACGUGUGUAACCUACCCAUCCGAGGGGGAUAACACUUGGAAACAGGUGCUAAUACCGCAUAACAGUUUAUGCCGCAUGGCAUAAGAGUGAAAGGCGCUUUCGGGUGUCGCUGAUGGCUGGACCCGCGGUGCAUUAGCUAGUUGGGGAGGUAACGGCUCACCAAGGCCAAGAUGCAUAGACGACCGGAGAGGGGGAUCGGCCACACUGGGACUGAGACACGGCCCAGACUCCUACGGGAGGCAGCAGUAGGGAAUCUUCGGCAAUGGUCGAAAGUCUGACCGAGCAACGCGGCGUGAGUGAAGAAGGUGUUCGGAUCGUAAAACUCUGUUGUUAGAGAAGAACAAGGACGUUAGUAACUGAACGUUCCCUGACGGUAUCUAACCAGAAAGCCACGGCUAACUACGUG